ACCUGUACCGGCUCUGCCCCUUCCAGAGAGUGACCCAGAGACCCAAAAACGGCGGCGCCGAGACCAACCUGGGGCUCUGGGGCUCCUGGGCCGGACCCGAAGGUGACAAAUUCGGAGCCCAGAAAUACGAGGGGGGCACGGGGUGCUGGCAGGGACCCAACAGAGCCACCACGGUGCGGCUCAGGUGUGGCCCGGACACGGCGGUGACGGCGGCGACGGAGCCGAGCCGCUGCGAGUACCUGCUGGAACUGGAGACACCUGCGGCCUGCAGGGAGCCCCCACCUGUGCACGAGGAGCACGACGAGCUCUGAGCCCAAAAUGUCCCAAAAAUAUCCCAAAAUUAUCCCAAAAUAUCCC
Non-coding RNA from Sturnus vulgaris (Common starling), 357 nucleotides. The record is from RefSeq and is a predicted model, not a curated record. NCBI's taxonomy places the organism in Eukaryota, Metazoa, Chordata, Aves, Passeriformes, Sturnidae.